This 1424-nucleotide long non-coding RNA is filed under the name Nicotiana benthamiana. Its description in RNAcentral is "long non-coding RNA (NBEN_LNC007588)". The record is from RNAcentral. Lineage: Eukaryota; Viridiplantae; Streptophyta; Magnoliopsida; Solanales; Solanaceae.
UAAAGGAUUGGUGAGAAGAUCAGCCAGUUGGUGAGAAGUGGAGACAUGAGAGAGAAAAAUCAUCCCAUCAGUCAGCUGAUCUAGAACAAAAUGACAAUAGACCUCAAUAUGCUUGGUCCGUUCAUGAAAUAUUGGAUUCUUGGCUAUAUGUAUAGCAGCCUGGUUGUCACAAAAAACAGAAAAGGGAAGAGAAACAGAAACACCAAGGUCAGUGAGCAGUCGAGGUAGCCAAGAUAAUUCAGCAACCACCUUACUAAGGGCCCUGUAUUCUGCUUCAGCAGAGGAUAAAGAGACUACGGUAGUGAGCAAUCGAGAGAGCCAAGAUAAUUCAGCAACCACCUUACUAAGUGCCCUGUACUCUGCUUCAGCAGAGGAUAAAGAGACUACUGGCUGUUUUUUGGACGUCCAACUAAUCAGGCUACCACCCAAAAGCACACAGAAACCAGUAACAGACCUGCGAGUAUAAGGACAGGCUGCCUAAUCACUGUCUGAAAAAGGCAUGGACUGAAAAAUCAGAAGUAUCAGAAUAGAAAAGUCCCAAAUUCAUAGUUCCUUUAAGAUAUCUGAGGACUUGCAGCGCAGCAGUCAUGUGAGGAAGUCUAGGAGACUUCAAAAAUUGACUCAGAUGUUGAACAACAAAGCAAAUGUCAGGUCUGGUGUGAGUGAAAAACAGGAGCUUACCAAUCAAGCUCCUGUACUGGUCAGGGGAAGAAAACAGGGCACCAGAAUCAGCAUGGAGCUUGGUAUUAAGAUCCAAAGGACAAACAAUAGUAGAAACAUUCACACAGUCAAAUUGAUGCAGCAGGUCAGAGACAAAUUUGUGCUGAUUAAGAAGCAUUCCACCAGCAACAAUAGACACCUCAAUGCCUAGAAAAUAAUUCAGAGACCCCAGGUCUUUAAUCCUGAACUGGUCAUGCAGGAAGUGUUCCAGGGCAGAAAUCUCAACAAUGUCAUCCCCAGUGAUAAUAAUAUCAUCCACAUAGACCGCCAAAACUACAAGACAUCCAGGCUGACCCUUGAUAAACAAAGAAUAAUCAUUCAAAGAAUGGGUGUAACCUCUGGAGUAUAGAGCAUGAGACAUUUUUUCAUACCACUAUCUGGAUGCAUGUCUCAAUCCAUAAAGGUAUCUCUUUAACGUACACAGAAAUGGAGGAGAGACAGAGGAAACAUAAUCAACAGAAGGGACAAACACAGUUAAACCUGGAGGAAGCUUCAUAUAUACCUCCUCAUUUAGGUCACCAUGCAAGAAAGCAUUAUUAACAUUAAGAAACAGAAUCAACAGAAGGGACAGAAACAGUUAAACCUGGAGGAAGUUUCAUAUAUACCUCCUCAUUUAGGUCACCAUGCAAUAAAGCAUUAUUAACAUCAAGUUGAAAAAGAUCCCAAUGAUUCUUAACAGCCACAACAAUUAAGCAUUUAACAGU